CAGUUAACUGCGCGUCAUAGUGUGAACUGCAGGACACAUUUGAACAUCGACAUUUCGAACGCACAUUGCGGUCCGUGGAGACACAUCCAGGACCACUCCUGUCUGAGGGCCGGCUGUAUAAAAACUAAUGCCAC
This 134-nucleotide ribosomal RNA is filed under the name Zygaena hindukuschi. Its description in RNAcentral is "partial 5.8S ribosomal RNA". The stretch from base 1 to 112 matches the Rfam family "5.8S ribosomal RNA", at positions 46 to 154 of the family's 154-position model. Rfam says of the family: 5.8S ribosomal RNA (5.8S rRNA) is a component of the large subunit of the eukaryotic ribosome. It is transcribed by RNA polymerase I as part of the 45S precursor that also contains 18S and 28S rRNA. Lineage: Eukaryota; Metazoa; Arthropoda; Insecta; Lepidoptera; Zygaenidae. The record is from RNAcentral. RNAcentral also lists the same sequence under 1 other name.